UGAACCGGAUACCUGCUGCCUUCAGACGGCUGUAAACAGAUUCACCUGAGUAAAGGAAAAGCCUUCAGCGCUGACGACCUACUGACUGUCACUUCACUGAAUAAGAUGACUAAAGAAAAGUGUGCUGAGCAGGCCGGUGGUGGACCAUGCAACAUCCACACUACAGUGCACCACUGGUAUCUAUCACCAAACCGUCCUCUCCCUCUCUUCUCAUGGUGAGUCACCAAGACACCGAACACAGCGCUCCACAUGGAAAUACCAUGUUCCCUGGAGAACUCCUGCAUUUCACACCAUUCAUGGAAGCAGAGCCCUACGUUGGACCCCCAAAAAAGACAGCAUCAGGGGCUAUAUCUCCCCACCUAUACAACCGUCACAUGACUGAAGACCACAUGUGAUGAGAAACGAGCCAUCUCCAUGACAACUGCACAGACUCCAUCCAUUAAAGGCUGUUGACACUCCAGAAAAAACACCAGUGUUCUGGCACAUAGAAACUGAUGCUUUCUACACAUGGUAAUAAGCAGAGGAGCUGAGGACCUGGCUGGCAGCGUGGGUGGGGCUUAUACCUCUGCAUCUAUAAUGAAUGGAUUUUACAUAACCUGCUGAAGGGAAGAGCAAACUAAACAGACCCCAACCACCACCAGGGGCCCCACACAAGCACAUUACAAGGUCAUUUUCAGUAUCUAUUUAAUUAGAUAUCUAUUGAAUUUAUCUUUGCAUUUGCACCUUGUUCAUUCAACAACCAGGAGCAAUAAUGAACCAAGUGACAUACUUGCCUUGAAGUUGUAGACUAAAUACAGGCAAAUGAAUAUAUGUCCUCUUUCCUGUUGGUCUGUGUCAG
Molecule: long non-coding RNA, 838 nt
Organism: Seriola aureovittata
Lineage: Eukaryota; Metazoa; Chordata; Actinopteri; Carangiformes; Carangidae
Exons: 4
Source: RefSeq, a predicted model, not a curated record